UAAAUUUGCAAGUUUUAAUAUAUAUUACUUUUUAAAAAUAAAUCAUCCCGCGGUAUACCGCGGGUUAAAAUCUAGUUUGACUUAUAAAGUCAACUGAUAAAACUUGAGUUU
RNAcentral lists this small RNA (111 nucleotides) under Arabidopsis thaliana (thale cress). RNAcentral describes it as "ATSL102200". Lineage: Eukaryota; Viridiplantae; Streptophyta; Magnoliopsida; Brassicales; Brassicaceae. The record is from RNAcentral.